UACGUAGGGCGCAAGCGUUGUCCGGAAUUAUUGGGCGUAAAGAGCUCGUAGGCGGUUUGUCGCGUCUGCUGUGAAAACCUAAGGCUCAACCUUGGGCUUGCAGUGGAUACGGGCAGACUAGAGUGCGGUAGGGGUGACUGGAAUUCCUGGUGUAGCGGUGGAAUGCGCAGAUAUCAGGAGGAACACCGAUGGCGAAGGCAGGUCACUGGGCCGCAACUGACGCUGAGGAGCGAAAGCAUGGGGAGCGAACAGG
RNAcentral lists this ribosomal RNA (253 nucleotides) under uncultured bacterium. RNAcentral describes it as "partial 16S ribosomal RNA". It matches the Rfam family "Bacterial small subunit ribosomal RNA", at positions 524 to 776 of the family's 1533-position model. The record is from RNAcentral.